Molecule: ribosomal RNA, 497 nt
Filed under: uncultured bacterium
Lineage: Bacteria
Description: partial 16S ribosomal RNA
Rfam family: Bacterial small subunit ribosomal RNA
Source: RNAcentral
GAUGAACGCUGGCGGCGUGCCUAAUACAUGCAAGUCGAGCGAACAGACGAGGAGCUUGCUCCUCUGACGUUAGCGGCGGACGGGUGAGUAACACGUGGAUAACCUACCUAUAAGACUGGGAUAACUUCGGGAAACCGGCGCUAAUACCGGAUAAUAUAUUGAACCGCAUUGUUCAAUAGUGAAAGACGGUUUUGCUGUCACUUAUAGAUGGAUCCGCGCCGCAUUAGCUAGUUGGUAAGGUAACGGCUUACCAAGGCAACGAUGCGUAGCCGACCUGAGAGGGUGAUAGGCCACACUGGAACGGAGACACGGUCCAGACGCCUACGGGAGGCAGCAGUAGGGAAUCUUCCGCAAUGGGCGAAAGCAUGACGGAGCAACGCCGCGUGAGUGAUGAAGGUCUUCGGAGCGUAAAACUCUGUUAUUAGGGAAGAACAAAUGUGUAAGUAACUAUGCACGUCUUGACGGUACCUAAUCAGAAAGCCACGGCUAACUACGUG